UUGACCUCAAAUCAGGUAGGACUACCCGCUGAACUUAAGCAUAUCAAUAAGCGGAGGAAAAGAAACUAACAAGGAUUCCCCUAGUAACUGCGAGUGAAGCGGGAAAAGCUCAAAUUUAAAAUCUGGCAGUCUCUGGCUGUCCGAGUUGUAAUCUAGAGAAGUGUUAUCCGUGCUGGACCGUGUAUAAGUCUCCUGGAAUGGAGCGUCAUAGAGGGUGAGAAUCCCGUCUUGGACAUGGACUACCAGUACAUUGUGAUGCGCUCUCAAAGAGUCGAGUUGUUUGGGAAUGCAGCUCUAAAUGGGUGGUAAAUUCCAUCUAAAGCUAAAUAUUGGCGA
RNAcentral lists this ribosomal RNA (336 nucleotides) under Amanita praeclara. RNAcentral describes it as "partial 28S ribosomal RNA". It matches the Rfam family "Eukaryotic large subunit ribosomal RNA", at positions 1 to 329 of the family's 3401-position model. The record is from RNAcentral. Lineage: Eukaryota; Fungi; Basidiomycota; Agaricomycetes; Agaricales; Amanitaceae.